RNAcentral lists this ribosomal RNA (484 nucleotides) under uncultured bacterium. Its description in RNAcentral is "partial 16S ribosomal RNA". It matches the Rfam family "Bacterial small subunit ribosomal RNA", at positions 30 to 507 of the family's 1533-position model. The record is from RNAcentral.
AUUGAACGCUGGCGGCAGGCCUAACACAUGCCAGUCGAGCGGAUGAAGGGAGCUUGCUCCUGGAUUCAGCGGCGGACGGGUGAGUAAUGCCUAGGAAUCUGCCUGGUAGUGGGGGAUAACGUCCGGAAACGGGCGCUAAUACCGCAUACGUCCUGAGGGAGAAAGUGGGGGAUCUUCGGACCUCACGCUAUCAGAUGAGCCUAGGUCGGAUUAGCUAGUUGGUGGGGUAAAGGCCUACCAAGGCGACUAUCCGUAACUGGUCUGAGAGGAUGAUCAGUCACAAUGGAACUGAGAAACGGUCCAGACUCCUACGGGAGGAAGCAGUCGGGAAUAUUGGACAAUGGGCGAAAGCCUGAUCCAGCCAUGCCGCGUGUGUGAAGAAGGUCUUCGGAUUGUAAAGCACUUGAAGUUGGGAGGAAGGGCAGUAAGUUAAUACCUUGCUGUUUUGACGGUACCAACAGAAUAAGCACCGGCUAACUUCGUG